This 253-nucleotide ribosomal RNA is filed under the name uncultured bacterium. RNAcentral's name for it is "partial 16S ribosomal RNA". It matches the Rfam family "Bacterial small subunit ribosomal RNA", at positions 524 to 776 of the family's 1533-position model. The record is from RNAcentral.
UACAGAGGGGGCAAGCGUUGUUCGGAAUUACUGGGCGUAAAGGGCGCGUAGGCGGCCUUCUAAGUCGGACGUGAAAUCCCCGGGCUCAACCCGGGAACUGCGUCUGAUGCUGGAUGGCUUGAAUCCGGGAGAGGGAUGUGGAAUUCCAGGUGUAGCGGUGAAAUGCGUAGAUAUCUGGAGGAACACCGGUGGCGAAGGCGGCAUCCUGGACCGGUAUUGACGCUGAGGCGCGAAAGCCAGGGGAGCAAACGGG